Molecule: ribosomal RNA, 1445 nt
Filed under: uncultured marine cyanobacterium
Lineage: Bacteria; Bacillati; Cyanobacteriota
Description: bacterial SSU rRNA
Rfam family: Bacterial small subunit ribosomal RNA
Source: RNAcentral
GAGUUUGAUCAUGGCUCAGGAUGAACGCUGGCGGCGUGCUUAACACAUGCAAGUCGAACGAACCUUCGGGUUAGUGGCGGACGGGUGAGUAACGCGUGGGAAUCUGCCCUCAGGAGGGGGAUAACGGUUGGAAACGGCCGCUAAUACCCCAUAUGCCGAGAGGUGAAAUGAAUUUCGCCUGAGGAUGAGCCCGCGUCUGAUUAGCUUGUUGGUGAGGUAAUGGCUCACCAAGGCAUCGAUCAGUAGCUGGUCUGAGAGGAUGAUCAGCCACACUGGGACUGAGACACGGCCCAGACUCCUACGGGAGGCAGCAGUGGGGAAUUUUCCGCAAUGGGCGCAAGCCUGACGGAGCAACGCCGCGUGAGGGACGAAGGCCUCUGGGCUGUAAACCUCUUUUCUCAAGGAAGAAGAUAUGACGGUACUUGAGGAAUAAGCCACGGCUAAUUCCGUGCCAGCAGCCGCGGUAAUACGGGAGUGGCAAGCGUUAUCCGGAAUUAUUGGGCGUAAAGCGUCCGCAGGCGGCCUUUCAAGUCUGCUGCUAAAACGUGGAGCUUAACUCCAUCAUGGCAGUGGAAACUGAUUGGCUUGAGUAUGGUAGGGGCAGAGGGAAUUCCCGGUGUAGCGGUGAAAUGCGUAGAUAUCGGGAAGAACACCAGUGGCGAAGGCGCUCUGCUGGGCCAUUACUGACGCUCAUGGACGAAAGCCAGGGGAGCGAAAGGGAUUAGAUACCCCUGUAGUCCUGGCCGUAAACGAUGAACACUAGGUGUCGGGGGAAUCGACCCCUUCGGUGUCGUAGCUAACGCGUUAAGUGUUCCGCCUGGGGAGUACGCACGCAAGUGUGAAACUCAAAGGAAUUGACGGGGGCCCGCACAAGCGGUGGAGUAUGUGGUUUAAUUCGAUGCAACGCGAAGAACCUUACCAGGGCUUGACAUCCUGCGAACCUUUAAGAAAUUAGAGGGUGCCUUCGGGAACGCAGUGACAGGUGGUGCAUGGCUGUCGUCAGCUCGUGUCGUGAGAUGUUGGGUUAAGUCCCGCAACGAGCGCAACCCACGUUUUUAGUUGCCAGCAUUUAGUUGGGCACUCUAGAAAGACCGCCAGUGAUAAACCGGAGGAAGGUGUGGAUGACGUCAAGUCAUCAUGCCCCUUACGUCCUGGGCUACACACGUACUACAAUGCUACGGACAAAGGGCAGCAAACUCGCGAGAGCUAGCAAAUCCCAUAAACCGUGGCUCAGUACAGAUCGUAGGCUGCAACUCGCCUACGUGAAGUAGGAAUCGCUAGUAAUCGCAGGUCAGCAUACUGCGGUGAAUACGUUCCCGGGCCUUGUACACACCGCCCGUCACACCAUGGAAGUUGGCCACGCCCGAAGUCGUUACUUUAACCCUCGUGGAGAAGGACGCCGAAGGUGGGGCUGAUGACUGGGGUGAAGUCGUAACAAGGUAACC